This 5463-nucleotide unclassified non-coding RNA is filed under the name Penaeus chinensis. RNAcentral describes it as "mucin-12-like, transcript variant X2". The record is from RNAcentral. Lineage: Eukaryota; Metazoa; Arthropoda; Malacostraca; Decapoda; Penaeidae.
UCAGGCUGCUUUGCGUCUUUUAAGCGACCGUUAACUCGUCCUGAUCGAGAGAGAGUGUGUAUAAUGUGGUGAUAUGCGAGUGAAACGAGAGUAAACAAGAGGAAAGUGGGCAGGGUGCUGUGGGCACUUGGUGAUGGGUGGACUCCGCACCGGGCGACUCAAGGAACUCGUAAUAGUGACGAGCUGUUCUCCAUCUGCACUGAUCCGGUGUUCAUGUCAGUACGAACAGGAGAAUGAAGUGAUGGCGUUUUGGUAGACGUGCUUUCUUAUUUUUUUUAAGGCAGUACAGAUAAAUUCAAAACAGGAAAAAGAGAAAGAGAGAGAAAAAAAAAAAAGAAAGUGAGAAUGAAAGGAUUACCUAAACGCUGGUGAACGUGUAAUUUCCCAGAGUUUUGAUGAGCCACGAAGAAGAUGUGAUUUCCUGGUGAUUUCUCCAUUUCCUCCUUACUCUACUUGUGCGUGUGAGACAGUGACCCUAAUAGGUGCUAUGCCAUAUGACUUGAAAGAAUCGUAGAAAGCUGAAGAUGCUAUCAAAAGUGAGUGACAUGGUGGAUGCCAGAUCUAGAGGAGGAUAAACAGACAGUGGAAGCAAGUUCCUUAGGGUUGUCAAGAUGCCUUCCUUGCUAGCUUGUUUUGUGUGCGGAGGGAAGGGGGAGAGUGACGAUGUGCGGGUGCUUGAUUACCGUCACUCUGCUCUCAAUGACGUGCCUGCAGAUGUGUUUGCUUCAGAACGCACGUUGGAGGAGCUGCUCUUGGAUUCCAAUCAGCUGACUGAGUUACCUCGUCAGCUGUUCUACUGCCAUGGCUUGAGGGAGCUUGGGCUAAGUGAUAAUGAGUUGACAUCCCUUCCUCCAGCUGUGGCAUCCCUCAUCAAUUUAACUUCCAUAGACCUCAGCAAAAAUGCCAUAUCAGACAUCCCAGACAAUAUUAAAGGCUGCAAGCAACUUGCUGUGGUGGAUGCCAGUAUCAACCCCCUGUGUCGUCUACCUGAGGGUUUCACACAGCUGCUUUCUCUGCAAGAACUUUAUCUGAAUGACACUUUCUUGGAAUACCUUCCCGCUAACUUUGGCCGAUUAUCCAAGUUGAAGAUUUUGGAGUUAAGGGAAAACCAGCUGAAUACGUUGCCAAAGUCCAUCGCACGUCUCACAAACCUGCAGCGCUUGGACAUUGGGCAGAAUGACUUCUCUGAAUUGCCAGAGGUGAUUGGAAGUCUUGGCAACUUGACUGAACUCUUGUUCGACAAUAACAAAGUGAAGUCACUUCCACCCAUGAUGGGCAAAUUGAAGAAACUGCUUCAUGUUGACGCAUCAAAGAAUAAAAUAGACUGGGUCUCUGGAGAACUGGAAAACUGUGCAGUGCUCACAGAUUUACAUCUCUCAUCCAAUAAUCUUAAGGAACUGCCGGAGAGUCUGGGAGGUUGUAGUCAGUUGCAACUUUUGCGUCUGGAUGACAAUGCCCUGACUCACCUCCCUGAGUCGCUUGGUGGUCUGGCAGCCCUUGAGGAACUGGUUGUCACUCAGAACGACCUGGAGACUUUGCCAGCCUCAAUUGGGCUACUUCGUGCUCUGCAUACUCUCCAUGUGGAUGAUAAUCUCAUAACAGAGUUACCACCAGAAAUUGGUUCUUGCAUUCAGUUGACAGUCCUUACCGCUGCAUCAAAUAGACUGACGAGUGUCCCUGCUGAACUGGGUCACCUUCCAAAAUUGGCAGUUCUAAAUCUUUGUGAUAAUUUGAUUCCUCAUCUGCCUGUAUCACUUACAAAACUAAAGCUAAGGGCUUUGUGGCUUUCUGAAAACCAGAACAAGCCACAGGUCCAGUUGCAAUCAGACACACUGCCAGAAACAGGGCAGCGUGUUCUAACAUGUUUCAUGCUACCACAGCAAGUUCGCUCUCAUCAGCCAGAAAUGGUGGUUGAGACGGACACCUUCCCAGGCCAGGGAUGGGAUGAGCAGAGGAGAGCAAAAACUCUUAUUAAGUUUGCCUUUGAUGGUGAUGUUGACAAACCAGGCCGCUUGACACGAGCCCCAACACCCUACCCCAAAGAACUCAAGGCACUCGCCAAGCAUGCUCGUAACUUGCACAGCUUGCAGAAGGACCCCUCACGACAAUUUGUGCUCGGGCGUUCAGAGGAUGCUGGCAGGGUGUCAUCUCCCGCACAGCCUGCUAAAGAGGACAGUGAAGUGGCUUCAGGCAGGCGGGACUCAGAUAGUGCUCUGAGGCAGCCACUAAUAGAACGCACGGCAAAGUCUGGGGCUCCUGUAGAUGAUUCUGUGGAUGCAGAGGAUGCUAGUACGCCCCUGACUGUUGUAGAACCACAGGUGGAUGAACGGCCACAGUUGAGAGAAGCUCGGAAUGUGCGCAAGAGCUCAAACCCUGAUCCCAGUGUGUCUAAUGCACCUAAGAGCAUGAAUUCUAAUGGUACAAGUGCUGGUGGGACAGACCUACCCUAUACUAUUGGGGAUAGGAAAGUGUUUGGCCAUGCACAGGUCAUUGCCAUGAAAGCUCCUGGAGACACAGUAACCAAAAACACAACCAGUCCAGCAGAGGAAAAUGGAACCUCACAGCAUCCCAUGACUUCAUCUGAGGGGUCUGGCCCUGCAGAAGGAGAGCAAGGAGGCGACACUCCGGACAAGCGCAUCAAAAAGCCGCCACCUUACCACAUAGCAGCCGUCAUGUCAAGGCAUGCAGCCGACUUCCAAGAGGCGAGUGUCGAGGUGUCUUCAUCACAGGGAACAAAUGCACAGGGAGGGGCUGGUCUGACUGUCAAGGAUCUGCCAGGCUCACAGCAGCCAUUAACUGUGUCAUCAACCACUGCCAUUGGUGAGGACGAAAACAAUGACACAAGUAGUUCCAGUGACAGUGGCUAUGGCAAUGGGAAAUCAUCAAGUCAACAAACUGCCGAAGAACAGCAGUGCAGUGAUUCCUGUUCAAACUCACCAUCCUCACCGCAGAAUCUGACAGAUUCCAGCAUCACUAUGCCCUCCACCCCCACCUCACCUUUAGGGAGUGCAGGAUCAGCUGCACCAUCCUCGAAAUCCUUCAUGGUUACAAGUUCCAUGAGGCCCCCAAGUACUCAUUUGUCGCCCAUCACUACCACAGGGUCUCUUCCAUCAGACCGCCACUCAUAUGCUGCUCCACAGCAUUCCUCCUCACCACUUGUGCAAGCCUCCAUGGGACAGCAUAUAUAUUCUUCUGGCCACUUGUCAUAUUCACAAAAAAUGCAGACUAACACUACUAUGACCAAUGCUCGCCCAGCCUCCAUUGCGGCAGGGCAACAGCUGGAGAAUCAGAAUAGUGGCUCCAUGCAGCGGCCUGGGUCUUUGGCUCUUGGCACGCUAGCAGAUUCAGCACUUCUCAACCGGCUGCCUAGAGAUCAUCGACCAGGAUCUUUGGCAGCACCUAUCAAUACUGUUGGCAUCCCACCUGCUCCAACAAGGGCUGUGUCUCACAUGGGAUUGAAUGUCUCCAGUCCAACAAGAGCACGUGAUCCCACUAUGUUCAGGAGCCAAGAUUUAUCACGAGCUGGACGCGGAUUGUCCGUAGCAGAGGAACGUUUCAUUGGAACUGCUAGUGCUCGUCAGGAGAGCAAUGGUCUUGUCUCCAUUAUUGACCAGGUAACAAGCAGUUUGCUGGAACAUGGGGAUAGUCCCCCUCCCAAGACUCCAGUGACCCCUAGUGCUCCUUCUUCCACUUUUCCUACCACUUCACCCACAACAGCAACACCUCCAUCCAAGCUGGCAGGCACCCAAGUCACCAGUGAUAGGAUACCCUUAUCAGCAUCUGAUUCUACAACAUCAGAAUCCUAUGUGACUAGUGAUACAAGUGGCAGAUCCUCCCUCUCUUAUCAACGUGGUGUGGGUUCAUCCCUGACCAGUAGUGGUGGACUCACCAACUUCACUCAAGACCAACCUCGAGGUGAGGUUUUGCAUCCAACUCCACAUCGACCACAUAUUAUCUCUCCUUCAGGCUCCAGACAUGGAUUAGACUCUCUGCAAGACCCCAGUGUGGGUACUCCAGAUAAGGUAGCAAUGGGAGUCCCUCAACAUAUUGAGACUGGGACUUCCCCUCCCAGAACAGCACCUAAGCCUCAGUCAAGAAUCCCAGCACUCAGUCCAGAGAGUUAUCCUGGUGUUACACCUGGUAAGGCAAAUCAUAAAACAAGCUUUGACUCUCCUGCUAGUCACAGUCCUGCUCAGAUGACAGAAUCUCGCAUACCCUCUAUAGGCAACAUUGGCCGUUCUCCCAGUAACUUGACCAGUGAAAGAUCAAAUGAGAGUCAUGUCUUACCUGAGUCAAGAAUACCAACCCUUGGUGCCAUGGGAAGAAGCCCAAGCAAUCUCAAUCAUGAAAGUAAGACAGAAAGUAGAAUUCCAACUCUUAAUAACAUGGGACAUAGUUCCUCCAACUUACUACAUGAUAAGCAGACUUCAGGAGAAUCACGAAUACCCACUCUUGGAAGCACUGGGAGAAGCCAAAGCAACCUUGGUCAUGAAGCACCAACUACACCCGAGUCUCGUAUUCCAACAAUAGGUGCAGUGGGUAGAACAUCUAGUAACUUGACACGUGAAUCCAUUGGGCUGAAAAAGCCUGCCAGCUCACAUGAAGGAGUCACAAAACCUGCAUCAAAUCUUAACACACCACAGCAGCUUAGAACAGCUGGAAUGAAUGGAUCAGGUAUUCCAAGUUUAGCCUCACAGGGGAGAAGCAAUAGCAGCUUAGGAUCAGGCAUCCCAAGUCCAAGCCCAACUUCUGCAGGGUUAAGAACUGGCAUCCCCAAGCAUGAUGCGACAGAUGGGCUAACCAAGAAGCCACUGGUGUAUGGAGGAACAAGCCAAGUGUCCUCCACAUCUCGCCUCCAGUCCCCAAGUUAUUCAAGUGGCAUUAGGCCCCCUACCUAUUCAUCAGCUAGUCCUCUGCCCAGUCCAGUCCAACACCCAUCUGGCAGUUUUACCCAGUCCCCAGGUUACUCAUCUGGCAUCCGACCACCCUCUAUCAAUUCAGCAAUUAACACCCCAGGUAUUCCACUACCUUCUUCAGGAUCUACAAGCCACCUGACCAACCCAGGGUCAAGAGGGUCAAUCACGUCAACAGGAUCUGGGACUCGCAUUCCAAUGGUUGCAGGAAAUUCUGCAUCAAGACUCCCUGCACCCAGUGCCAACAAGCACCGUGUGUCUCCAUCAGCACAAAAUGCAGAUAACAAGACAAACAAUUCAGCGUGGAUGUUUGGCCAGCACAAAAAUGCCCGUGUGGUAUGUCAGAAUUCCAGGAAGGUCUGGGUUCCUGAACGAAGAGUGUCCAAGUUUCACCUCAAAUGUUCCCGGUAGUGAUAGAGAAAAAUCCAGGCCUUGGCUUCACGAUUGGGCUGUCAGAUUCUGACGCAGAAGAUAAGAGUAUUUAUGUGACGAGUGUCGCAGGAGGGGGGGCAGCAUCCUCAGCCCUCAAAGUUGGGGACAAGUUGCUACA